This 445-nucleotide ribosomal RNA is filed under the name uncultured bacterium. RNAcentral's name for it is "bacterial SSU rRNA". It matches the Rfam family "Bacterial small subunit ribosomal RNA", at positions 354 to 796 of the family's 1533-position model. The record is from RNAcentral.
GUGAGGAAUAUUGGGCAAUAGACGCAAGUCUGACCCAGCCAUGCCGCGUGCAGGAUGACAGCCCUAUGGGUUGUAAACUGCUUUUGUACAGGAAGAAACCCCCGGUCGUGACCGGGGUUGACGGUACUGUGCGAAUAAGCAUCGGCUAACUCCGUGCCAGCAGCCGCGGUAAUACGGAGGAUGCAAGCGUUAUCCGGAUUCAUUGGGUUUAAAGGGUGUGUAGGCGGGACAAUAAGUCAGUGGUGAAAUCUUUCGGCUUAACCGGAAAACUGUCAUUGAUACUGUUGUUCUUGAGUUCAGUUGAGGUGGGCGGAAUGUGUAAUGUAGCGGUGAAAUGCAUAGAUAUUACACAGAACACCGAUUGCGAAGGCAGCUCACUAAACUGUUACUGACGCUGAGGCACGAAAGCGUGGGGAGCGAACAGGAUUAGAAACCCGUGUAGUCC